GGCUACCUGCAGUCGACGGUAGCACAGAGAGCUUGCUCUCGGGUGACGAGUGGCGGACGGGUGAGUAAUGUCUGGGAAACUGCCUGAUGGAGGGGGAUAACUACUGGAAACGGUAGCUAAUACCGCAUAACGUCCCAAGACCAAAGAGGGGGACCUUCGGGCCUCUUGCCAUCAGAUGUGCCCAGAUGGGAUUAGCUAGUAGGUGGGGUAAUGGCUCACCUAGGCGACGAUCCCUAGCUGGUCUGAGAGGAUGACCAGCCACACUGGAACUGAGACACGGUCCAGACUCCUACGGGAGGCAGCAGUGGGGAAUAUUGCACAAUGGGCGCAAGCCUGAUGCAGCCAUGCCGCGUGUAUGAAGAAGGCCUUCGGGUUGUAAAGUACUUUCAGCGGGGAGGAA
RNAcentral lists this ribosomal RNA (400 nucleotides) under uncultured bacterium. Its description in RNAcentral is "bacterial SSU rRNA". It matches the Rfam family "Bacterial small subunit ribosomal RNA", at positions 45 to 449 of the family's 1533-position model. The record is from RNAcentral.